This 473-nucleotide ribosomal RNA is filed under the name uncultured bacterium. RNAcentral's name for it is "bacterial SSU rRNA". It matches the Rfam family "Bacterial small subunit ribosomal RNA", at positions 355 to 825 of the family's 1533-position model. The record is from RNAcentral.
UGAGGAAUAUUGCGCAAUGGGCGAAAGCCUGACGCAGCGACGCCGCGUGGAGGACGAAGGCCCUCGGGUCGUAAACUCCUGUCAAGAGAGACGAAUGCCGCAGGGAUGAAUAAGCCUUGUGGUUGACGGUACCUUUGAAGGAAGCCCCGGCUAACUCCGUGCCAGCAGCCGCGGUAAUACGGAGGGGGCAAGCGUUGUUCGGAAUUAUUGGGCGUAAAGGGCGCGUAGGCGGCCUGGUAAGUCAGACGUGAAAUCCCUCGGCUCAACCGAGGAACUGCGUUUGAAACUGCCGGGCUUGAGUCCCGGAGAGGGUAGUGGAAUUCCCAGUGUAGCGGUGAAAUGCGUAGAUAUCAAGAGGAACACCUGAGGUGAAGACGGGUUGCUGGGCUGACACUGACGCUGAGGCGCGAAAGCCAGGGGAGCAAACGGGAUUAGAUACCCCAGUAGUCCCUGAGCGGGCUGGCAAGGCGCAU